This 408-nucleotide ribosomal RNA is filed under the name uncultured bacterium. Its description in RNAcentral is "partial 16S ribosomal RNA". It matches the Rfam family "Bacterial small subunit ribosomal RNA", at positions 28 to 526 of the family's 1533-position model. The record is from RNAcentral.
GACGAACGCUGGCGGCGUGCUUAACACAUGCAAGUCGAAAGAAGUGGCGACCGGGUGCGUAAUGCGUAAUCAACCUGCCCUUCAGAGGGGGACAACAGUUGGCAACGACUGCUAAUACCUCAUACUGAAGGAGGGGAUUUCGUCUGAUUAGCUAGGUGGAGGGGUAACGGCCCACCAAGGCGAUGAUCAGUAGCCGGUCUGAGAGGAUGAACGGCCACAUUGGGACGGAGACACGGCCCAGACUCCUACGGGAGGCAGCAGUGGGGAAUCUUCCGCAAUGGACGAAAGUCUGACGGAGCAACGCCGGGUGAGUGAUGACGGCCUUCGGGUUGUAAAGCUCUGUUAAUCGGGACGCGGUACCGGAAUAGAAAGCCACGGCUAACUACGUGCCAGCAGCCGCGGUAAUAC